RNAcentral lists this ribosomal RNA (458 nucleotides) under uncultured bacterium. RNAcentral's name for it is "partial 16S ribosomal RNA". It matches the Rfam family "Bacterial small subunit ribosomal RNA", at positions 338 to 795 of the family's 1533-position model. The record is from RNAcentral.
CCUACGGGUGGCAGCAGUGGGGAAUAUUGCACAAUGGGCGCAAGCCUGAUGCAGCGACGCCGCGUGCGGGAUGGAGGCCUUCGGGUUGUAAACCGCUUUUGUUAACGGGCAAGGCACGGUCUUUGGCCGUGUUGAGUGGAUUGUUCGAAUAAGCACCGGCGACCUACGUGCCAGCAGCCGCGGUACUACGUAGGGUGCAAGCGUUAUCCGGAUUUAUUGGGCGUAAAGGGCACGUAGGCGGUUCGUCGCGUCUGGUGUGAAAGUCCAUCGCUUAACGGUGGAUCCGCGCCGGGUAGGGGCGGGCUUGAGUGCGGUAGGGAGGACUAGAAUUCCCGGUGUAACGGUGGAAUGUGUAGAGAUCGGGAAGAACACCGAGGGCGAAGGCAGGUCUCUGGGCCGUUACUGACGCUGAGGAGCGAAAGCGUGGGGAGCGAACAGGAUUAGAUACCCUAGUAGUC